UAAAAUGGCUGAGCGUCAAGCGGUGGAUUGUAGUCCCAUGACCAGAGGUUAAACUCCUCUUUUUAC
RNAcentral lists this transfer RNA (66 nucleotides) under Anatolichthys anatoliae anatoliae. RNAcentral describes it as "Aphanius anatoliae anatoliae tRNA-Tyr". It matches the Rfam family "tRNA". From Rfam's summary of the family: Transfer RNA (tRNA) molecules are approximately 80 nucleotides in length. Their secondary structure includes four short double-helical elements and three loops (D, anti-codon, and T loops). The record is from RNAcentral. Lineage: Eukaryota; Metazoa; Chordata; Actinopteri; Cyprinodontiformes; Aphaniidae.